This 678-nucleotide ribosomal RNA is filed under the name Triticum aestivum (bread wheat). Its description in RNAcentral is "partial small subunit ribosomal RNA". Lineage: Eukaryota; Viridiplantae; Streptophyta; Magnoliopsida; Poales; Poaceae. The record is from RNAcentral.
UCGCCGUUCCUCGUCCGCGCCGUCGAGACCGACCGGGACGGCCCGACGCGCAGCGGGGCGGGCCUGUGGAGCCUCCACCUGGACGAGCCGGACGCUGGAUGGGCGGCCCACGCCGGCAUGUUCGACUACAUCGUCGUCUCCGCCGGCAGCUGGUUCUACCGGCCGUCCGUGUUCUACGAGCGUGGCCGCCUCGUCGGGUGCAGCGGCUGCCUCGCGCCCAACGUCACCGACCUCACGCUCCGGUACUCCCUGCGGCUGGCGUUCCGGAGCGCGCUCCGCGCGGCCGUUGGCGCGCCGGGCGGCCGCUCAAGGACGGUCAUCGUGCGGACGAUCUCGCCGUCGCACUACGAGAACGGCACGCGGAACGAGGACGGCGACUGCGUCCGGACGCGGCCUCUCCGGCGCGGCGAGUGGGAGAUGGACGAGGGGCAGAAGGAGAUGCGCCGGAUACAGGUCGAGGAGUUCGCGGCGGCAGAGGCUGCGGCGAGAGGGAAAGGGGUGAGGAUGCUGCUCAUGGACGCGACGGAGGCCAUGGCGCUGCGGCCGGACGCCCACCCGAGCAAGUACCGGCUGUGGGAGUCGGAGAAGUUUACGGUGUCCCGUGACUGCCUACAGUGGUGCCUGCCCGGCGCCAUGGACGCGUGCAACGACAUGCUGCUUCACAUGCUGAUCGGUUAA